This 743-nucleotide ribosomal RNA is filed under the name uncultured bacterium. RNAcentral's name for it is "bacterial SSU rRNA". It matches the Rfam family "Bacterial small subunit ribosomal RNA", at positions 96 to 846 of the family's 1533-position model. The record is from RNAcentral.
UGGCGAAAGGGGCAGUAAGGCGUGGGUAACCUACCCCGGGGACCGGGAUAGCCGGCCUAACGGCCGGGUAAUACCGGGCGAUCUGGCGAGGGGGCAUCUCCUUGCCAGGAAAUGAGUUUCGCCUCGGGAGGGGCUCACGUGAUAUUAGCUCGUUGGCGGGGUGACGGCCCACCAAGGCGAAGAUGUCUAGCGGGUGUGAGAGCACGACCCGCGCCACUGGCACUGAGACACUGGCCAGACUCCUACGGGAGGCUGCAGUCGAGGAUCUUCGGCAAUGGGCGCAAGCCUGACCGAGCGACGCCGCGUGCGCGAUGAAGGCCUUCGGGUUGUAAAGCGCUGUCGAGGGGGAGGAAAGCCCGCAAGGGCCUGACCCAUCCCUGGAGGAAGCACGGGCUAAGUUCGUGCCAGCAACCGCGGUAAGACGAACCGUGCGAACGUUGUUCGGAAUCACUGGGCUUAAACGGCGCGUAGGCUGGCGACCAAGUCCGGGGUGAAAUCUUUCCGCCCAACUGGAAAAGUGCCUCGGAUACUGGUCGCCUGGAGGGAGGUAGGGGCACGCUGAACUUCCGGUGGAGCGGUGAAAUGCGUUCAUCUCGGAAGGAACUCCGGUGGCUUAAGCGGCGUGCUGCACCUCGUCUGACGCUCAGGCUCGAAAUCCUCGGGAGCGAACGAGAUUAGAUACCCCGGUAGUCCUGGCCCUAAACGAUCGGUACUACGUAGUGUGCUAACAUGGGGCUCACUGC